Molecule: long non-coding RNA, 308 nt
Filed under: Nicotiana tabacum (common tobacco)
Lineage: Eukaryota; Viridiplantae; Streptophyta; Magnoliopsida; Solanales; Solanaceae
Description: long non-coding RNA (NTAB_LNC002623)
Source: RNAcentral
AUUGGCUCAGUGCCACAACCUCAUCUCCAAUUUCUGAAAUGGCAGUCUCAUCCAUAGCCAAUCUCUUCUCCUUCUUCACCCCCUCCAAACCCCCACCCCCCAAAGCUUCCCCCCUCCAAUUCUCUCUUCCCGCUGCUGAUUCCCUCUCUUCUUCAACACCUAUCAACAAUCACAAAUACCCGUUAUCACUAUCGUCUUCUAAUUCUGAUGUUACGGCCGUCGUUUGCCCCUCACUUGCAAAUGCAAACACCCUUUACUUCAGGUCGGGAUACAAUGUUCAGGUAAUUGUGGAUGAUAAUGAGCACGAA